UAGGGAAUUGUUCGCAAUGGGCGCAAGCCUGACGACGCAACGCCGCGUGGGGGAUGAAGGCCUUAGGGUCGUAAACCCCUUUCAGCAGGGACGAAAAUGACGGUACCUGCAGAAGAAGCCCCGGCCAACUACGUGCCAGCAGCCGCGGUAAGACGUAGGGGGCGAGCGUUGUCCGGAUUUAUUGGGCGUAAAGAGCUCGUAGGCGGUUGCGUAAGUCGGAUGUGAAAACUCAGGGCUCAACCCUGAGACGCCAUCCGAUACUGCGCUGACUUGAAUCCAGUAGGGGAGUGUGGAAUUCCUGGUGUAGCGGUGAAAUGCGCAGAUAUCAGGAGGAACACCCAUGGCGAAGGCAGCACUCUGGGCUGGUAUUGACGCUGAGGAGCGAAAGCAUGGGUAGCGAACAGGAUUAGAUACCCACGUAGUCCCUGAGCGGGCUGGCAAGGCGCAU
Molecule: ribosomal RNA, 448 nt
Filed under: uncultured bacterium
Lineage: Bacteria
Description: bacterial SSU rRNA
Rfam family: Bacterial small subunit ribosomal RNA
Source: RNAcentral